RNAcentral lists this ribosomal RNA (468 nucleotides) under uncultured bacterium. RNAcentral describes it as "partial 16S ribosomal RNA". It matches the Rfam family "Bacterial small subunit ribosomal RNA", at positions 28 to 507 of the family's 1533-position model. The record is from RNAcentral.
GACGAACGCUGGCGGCGUGCUUAACACAUGCAAGUCGAACGGAAAGGCCCUGCUUUUGUGGGGUGCUCGAGUGGCGAACGGGUGAGUAACACGUGAGUAACCUGCCCUUGACUUUGGGAUAACUUCAGGAAACUGGGGCUAAUACCGGAUAGGAGCUCCUGCUGCAUGGUGGGGGUUGGAAAGUUUCGGCGGUUGGGGAUGGACUCGCGGCUUAUCAGCUUGUUGGUGGGGUAGUGGCUUACCAAGGCUUUGACGGGUAGCCGGCCUGAGAGGGUGACCGGCCACAUUGGGACUGAGAUACGGCCCAGACUCCUACGGGAGGCAGCAGUGGGGGAUAAUGCACAAUGGGCGGAAGCCUGAUGCAGCAACGCCGCGUGCGGGAUGACGGCCUUCGGGUUGUAAACCGCUUUCGCCUGUGACGAAGCGUGAGUGACGGUAAUGGGUAAAGAAGCACCGGCUAACUACGUG